AUGCAGAACAAGACACGGGUUGUCUACGAGGCUAUCACGUGCGCCUGCAGAAGCAACGUUGAUCAGCACCAGCAGCAGCAGUCGCAUCCCUCCACGCAUCGACAUCAACCACGUCCACGUCUAGCACAUCAGCCGACGACCAGGCCACCCCCUCCUGACCAACCCGGUAGUUCAACAUGGCAGCACCCACAACACUAUGGUCCCACGUCGAGCUUCGUGUUUUCUCCACAGCCACAGCAGCACGGUCCCUCGUCAAGCUUCGUGUUUGAGCCAGAGCAGCUUGAGGCGACCUCAUUCUUCAUGACUUAA
RNAcentral lists this ribosomal RNA (309 nucleotides) under Triticum aestivum (bread wheat). RNAcentral describes it as "partial small subunit ribosomal RNA". The record is from RNAcentral. Lineage: Eukaryota; Viridiplantae; Streptophyta; Magnoliopsida; Poales; Poaceae.